CCUUUGAGUGAAGACCACUAAGUGAGGAGGAAGGAGCUUGCAAGCCGCCGGGUCAUGCACCACUACCCAGACAGUGUUGUUGCCUGCCCAGCAGCCAUUUCUCUCAGGUCUUCUCUGCUAGUGCAGCCUCAGUUUUGCUCAGAUACUGGCUGAAAAGUCCCCAACCUCAGAGGAGGCCAGUUCCUGCCUCAAGCCGGGGGAUAAACCGUGGUUGCUCAGAAACAGCCAUGGGGCUCCCUUUCCAUGCCAGUAGGUUAGGCCGUGUGUGCCUGUGUGCCCAACUCUUGCCAUAAAGUGUAGGAGAAACUUGGCCAGGGGAUGCUAUGGAAAAUAUUUUUCCCAGAUGAAAAGGAGUAUCUUCCCAGAGAGAAAGCUUCCUUCUGCACCUGUCUCCUACCUUUCUCCUUCAGAUGUUGCUGUUUGGAGCUGAGGCAGCCGUCCUGUGACCAUCUGUCAACAAAGGUAAGGAUAAAAAGACAAGCUCAAAAAGAUAUUGGCGCGAUAUUUAUCAAAGUUAUUUUUAAGAGCAAAAAUGAAGAAAGAAAUUUUUAAAAUGUCCAUACAGUGAAAUACAAUCAUAGACAUGUUAUUGGUAAGAAAAUGUUUACGAUAAUUUAUUAGGGGACAAAGGCAGGUCACGAAUGGGAUGUAGGAACCCAUCCUGUGGGUAGGUGGGCGUGUCUGCAAAAGACCAUAGGAAAAUACAUCAAUACUGGUCAUCUUUGGAUGGUAAAAUUAUGAGUGACAUUUGUUUUCUAAUUUUUCUUCAAUGCAUUUGUAAUACAUUGUGUAUAUCUCAGUACUGAAUUGUAAUGUGAAAUGUUUUCUUACGGUGUGAUAUGGUUUGGAU
RNAcentral lists this long non-coding RNA (850 nucleotides) under Homo sapiens (human). RNAcentral's name for it is "HSALNT0375337". Lineage: Eukaryota; Metazoa; Chordata; Mammalia; Primates; Hominidae. The record is from RNAcentral.